RNAcentral lists this ribosomal RNA (1302 nucleotides) under Icmadophila ericetorum (peppermint drop lichen). Its description in RNAcentral is "eukaryotic LSU rRNA". It matches the Rfam family "Eukaryotic large subunit ribosomal RNA", at positions 65 to 1397 of the family's 3401-position model. Lineage: Eukaryota; Fungi; Ascomycota; Lecanoromycetes; Pertusariales; Icmadophilaceae. The record is from RNAcentral.
CCAACAGGGAUUGCCUCAGUAACGGCGAGUGAAGCGGCAACAGCUCAAAUUUGAAAUCUGACUUCGGUCCGAGUUGUAAUUUGCAGAGGGUAUUUGGAAAGCGACAUGGGCCUAAGUCCCUUGGAACAGGGUGUCACAGAGGGUGAGAACCCCGUACGUGGCCACAUGUCAGUUUCAUGUCAAAUCCCUUCGACGAGUCGAGUUGUUUGGGAAUGCAGCUCAAAAUGGGUGGUAAAUUUCAUCUAAAGCUAAAUACCGGCCAGAGACCGAUAGCGCACAAGUAGAGUGAUCGAAAGAUGAAAAGCACUUUGGAAAGAGAGUUAAACAGUACGUGAAAUUGUUGAAAGGGAAGCGCUUGCCAUUAGACCGAUUCAUGAGCUGCAGUCGGAGGCAACUCUUGACGUAAAGCACUCGUUUUUCGGCCAGCAUCAGUUUUGAUGGUUCGACAAAGACGUGGAGAACGUGGCUCUUCGGAGUGUUAUAGCUUCGCGUGUAAUGGAAUCUAUUGGGACUGAGGACCGCGCUUCGGCUAGGAUGCUGGCGUAAUGAUGGCAAGCGACCCGUCUUGAAACACGGACCAAGGAGUCGAUCAUCUAUGCAAGUGUUUGGGUGGAAAACCCAUACGCGGAAUGAAAGUGAACGGAGGUGAGAACCGUAAGGUGCAUCAUCGACCGAUCCUGAUGUCUUCGGAUGGAUUUGAGUAUGAGCAUAGCCGAUCGGACCCGAAAGAUGGUGAACUAUACGUGAAUAGGGUGAAGCCAGAGGAAACUCUGGUGGAGGCUCGCAGCGGUUCUGACGUGCAAAUCGAUCGUCAAAUUUGCGUAUAGGGGCGAAAGACCAAUCGAACUAUCUAGUAGCUGGUUCCUGCCGAAGUUUCCCUCAGGAUAGCAGUAACGUUUUCAGUUUUAUGAGGUAAAGCGAAUGAUUAGAGGCCUUGGGGUUGAAACAACCUUAACCUAUUCUCAAACUUUAAAUAUGUAAGAGGUCAUUGUUGCUUAAUUGAACGAUGACAUUGGAAUGCACCGUUACUAGUGGGCCAUUUUUGGUAAGCAGAACUGGCGAUGCGGGAUGAACCGAACGCGAGGUUAAGGUGCCGGACUAUACGCUCAUCAGACACCACAAAAGGUGUUAGUUCAUCUAGACAGUUGGACGGUGGCCAUGGAAGUCGGAAUCCGCUAAGGAGUGUGUAACAACUCACCAACCGAAUGAACUAGCCCUGAAAAUGGAUGGCGCUCAAGCGUGUGACCCAUACCUCGCCGUCGGGGUAGAUACGAUGCCCCGACGAGUAGGCAGGCGUUGAGA